This 253-nucleotide ribosomal RNA is filed under the name uncultured bacterium. Its description in RNAcentral is "partial 16S ribosomal RNA". It matches the Rfam family "Bacterial small subunit ribosomal RNA", at positions 524 to 776 of the family's 1533-position model. The record is from RNAcentral.
UACGUAGGGGGCAAGCGUUGUCCGGAUUUAUUGGGUUUAAAGGGUGCGUAGGCGGUUCCUUAAGUCAGUGGUGAAAUACUUCAGCUCAACUGGAGAGGUGCCAUUGAUACUGGGGAACUUGAGUACUGAUGAGGUAGGCGGAAUGGACGGUGUAGCGGUGAAAUGCUUAGAUAUCGUCCAGAACACCGAUAGCGAAGGCAGCUUACUAAAGAGUAACUGACGCUGAGGCACGAAAGUGUGGGGAUCAAACAGG